This 319-nucleotide ribosomal RNA is filed under the name uncultured eukaryote. RNAcentral's name for it is "partial 18S ribosomal RNA". It matches the Rfam family "Eukaryotic small subunit ribosomal RNA", at positions 1470 to 1796 of the family's 1831-position model. The record is from RNAcentral.
CCCUUAGAUGUCCUGGGCCGCACGCGUGCUACACUGACGCCUACAGCGAGUACUUCCCAGCCCCGAGAGGUGGCUGGUAAUCAGCAAUAGGCGUCGUGAUGGGGAUAGAUCUUUGGAAUUAUGGAUCUUGAACGAGGAAUGCCUAGUAAGCGCAGGUCAUUAGCCUGCGCUGAUUAAGUCCCUGCCCUUUGUACACACCGCCCGUCGCUCCUACCGAUUUCGAGUGGUCCGGUGAAUCUUUCGGACUGCGCGCGGCCUCGUGCCGUGUCGCGGAAAGUCAGGUAAACCCUAUCACUUAGAGGAAGGAGAAGUCGUAACA